RNAcentral lists this ribosomal RNA (253 nucleotides) under uncultured bacterium. Its description in RNAcentral is "partial 16S ribosomal RNA". It matches the Rfam family "Bacterial small subunit ribosomal RNA", at positions 524 to 776 of the family's 1533-position model. The record is from RNAcentral.
UACGUAGGGGGCAAGCGUUGUCCGGAAUCAUUGGGCGUAAAGAGCGUGUAGGCGGCCCGGUAAGUCCGCUGUGAAAGUCGGGGGCUCAACCCUCGAAUGCCGGUGGAUACUGUCGGGCUAGAGUGCGGAAGAGGCGAGUGGAAUUCCUGGUGUAGCGGUGAAAUGCGCAGAUAUCGGGAGGAACACCUAUGGCGAAGGCAGCUCGCUGGGACGUUACUGACGCUGAGACGCGAAAGCGUGGGGAGCAAACAGG